This 68-nucleotide transfer RNA is filed under the name Gomphiocephalus hodgsoni. RNAcentral describes it as "tRNA-Met". It matches the Rfam family "tRNA". From Rfam's summary of the family: Transfer RNA (tRNA) molecules are approximately 80 nucleotides in length. Their secondary structure includes four short double-helical elements and three loops (D, anti-codon, and T loops). The record is from RNAcentral. Lineage: Eukaryota; Metazoa; Arthropoda; Collembola; Poduromorpha; Hypogastruridae.
UAAAAGAUAAGCUAAAAAAGCUACUAGGUUCAUACCCUAUUUAUAGAAGUUCAAUCUUCUUCUUUUAA